GCCCCCUUAGCUCAGGGGAUAGAGCACCGGCCUCCGGAGCCGGGUGCGCAGGUUCGAAUCCUGCAGGGGGCGCCA
RNAcentral lists this transfer RNA (75 nucleotides) under Stackebrandtia nassauensis DSM 44728. RNAcentral describes it as "tRNA-Arg (CCG) (tRNA-Arg-CCG-1-1)". It matches the Rfam family "tRNA". From Rfam's summary of the family: Transfer RNA (tRNA) molecules are approximately 80 nucleotides in length. Their secondary structure includes four short double-helical elements and three loops (D, anti-codon, and T loops). Further hydrogen bonds mediate the characteristic L-shaped molecular structure. tRNAs have two regions of fundamental functional importance: the anti-codon, which is responsible for specific mRNA codon recognition, and the 3' end, to which the tRNAs corresponding amino acid is attached (by aminoacyl-tRNA synthetases). tRNAs cope with the degeneracy of the genetic code in two manners: having more than one tRNA (with a specific anti-codon) for a particular amino acid; and 'wobble' base-pairing, i.e. permitting non-standard base-pairing at the 3rd anti-codon position. Lineage: Bacteria; Bacillati; Actinomycetota; Actinomycetes; Glycomycetales; Glycomycetaceae. The record is from RNAcentral.